UACGGAGGGAGCUAGCGUUGUUCGGAAUUACUGGGCGUAAAGCGCACGCAGGUGGCUGAGUCAGUCGAUUGUGAAAGCCCUGGGCUUAACCUGGGAAUUGCAGUCGAUACUACUCAGCUAGAGUAUGGGAGAGGGUAGUGGAAUUCCCGGUGUAGCGGUGAAAUGCGUAGAUAUCGGGAGGAACAUCAGUGGCGAAGGCGGCUACCUGGCCCAAUACUGACACUCAGGUGCGACAGCGUGGGGAGCAAACAGG
This 253-nucleotide ribosomal RNA is filed under the name uncultured bacterium. RNAcentral's name for it is "partial 16S ribosomal RNA". It matches the Rfam family "Bacterial small subunit ribosomal RNA", at positions 524 to 776 of the family's 1533-position model. The record is from RNAcentral.